GCCUGUAGCCAUACCACCCUGAAAUCACAUGAUCUAGGCUGAUAUCAGAAGCUGUGUGGGGAUAGACAAGGUAGGGUUUGCAUAGAAAAAUGAAAAUGUGUUAAGGUA
RNAcentral lists this ribosomal RNA (108 nucleotides) under Meriones unguiculatus (Mongolian gerbil). The record is from RNAcentral. Lineage: Eukaryota; Metazoa; Chordata; Mammalia; Rodentia; Muridae.